AGAAGGGGAAGGGAAGAAUAAAUCAACAGCAAAUAAUAUUAAAAGCAGGCUCUUGGCUGGCGGUCUGGAGUUGCCAUACAAUUGUUAUUUGAAGGACUUUAUGGGAAGGCACCUCCAAAUCAUGAAGCUCAUUGAAAAGUUGCUUUAUUGUAAAUCCAGCCUGUGCCUCUUGAAGUUUGGGCUGGCACAUGGGGUUUUCAGAGGAAUGGUGUUCUUUCUUUCCACUCUCUUGUGAGACACUUGAGUUCCUCCAGUGCUCCAGGAGCAGCCAGCUGUGCCUUGGGAAUGUCUGUGUGUGCAGGAGCUUCAUGGCCUUAUUUGGGAAGCUGCUUCCCAGGCACAGGUCAGCACUCUAAUGGCACUUGCAUCCUUCUUGUUGAGCAAUAUUGAUCUCCUUCUAGGAACUGCACUCUUAGCCAAUCUGCCCAUGAAAUGUAGAGCCCAGGCUUUGUGAGAGUGCUCCACAAACCCUACAGAGGCAAUGAUGGUCUCUCCAAACUGUGGGUCUAACUUUGCUGUCAAGGUUUGGUGCAAUGAGGAGGCUUUGGCAUCACUGAGCCUUCCAAGAGCCAGUCAAGUUUUCAGGGAGAUACACAAAGUACCUGUUCAUCCUGAUACCAGAAUGUUCCCACCAGCUAAGUAGGUUUUGUUGGACGCAUAAUACUGGUUUUGGGUUUCAGGCUGAUUGAAUGCAGCUUUUGUGGCUAAGGAUCAAUCUGCUAAUUAUGAAAUACAAUGCUAGGAUCUUUCUGCAGUCUCAUUGUGAGGAGAUGUAAUUUGUAAUGGCCACGUUCAUCUUACAGUCACCAUAAGGAAGUAAUGGGUCGUGGAUCUCUACACUUGGGGCAUUUUCCUUUGGGGUGUUGAAGGCUGCAGGGUAGCACCACGCAGCAAGGAUCCAGCAGCCAGAGGAGCUUUGAGACAGUACUGAGCUGGGAAUGAAUUCGAGAGCUUUGAAGACCUGGAUUAGAAUCAAACCAAACUCAACAGAGUGAUGGAAUGGCCUGAAAGAAACAUGAUGCAGUUCAAUGAGGAGAAAUGCAGAGAACUGCACUUAGGUGAGAACAGUCGAUUGCAAGAAAAUGGAAGGAGAAGGUCCAGGCUGUGUCCUGCAGAAAGACAUGGUGACCAGCAAGAGCCACCUGAGGGUUGAGGCUGAGAUCUUGUACCUCUCACACCACGAAGCCAUGCAGGAAACUUCUAGUGGUACUUAUUGCCAGGUUUAAGUGCUCCUGCAUUUAGGUUCUUCAUUUUGGCCAGCCAAGAAUCUUCACCUGCAGUUGGUUUCUCACUCUUGUGGUGCUCACUGGUUGCUGCCCAGAGUGCAGCAUCACAGCUCGUCUCGGGUCCGUAGCACAAGUUUGCUGGUGCUCAAAAGGCAAUGUAUGGGGAGGUAGUUCCUUCUCUGGAGAUAGUUCUUCAGCUUUUUGCAGGUGGUGGGGCUCAAGAUUUCCCUUGUCAGGUGCUUGUUAAAUGUCCAAGACUUGCAGAUGGCUCUUCAGAAAGCAUGGCAGGAGAAAGGAAAUGGACAGAAUAGCUUUGGGGCUUUCCCUUUGGAAUUCUGGGGUAGUAUCUCUGUGGUUUUGUUGUGUAACUUCAUUGUGGUUUGUCUUCUGUGAGUUUCUGUUUAGAAGAUGAAUUAAACUAAAUGCGUGUUUUAAAACUCGCUCUGUGCAUUGAUACUUCCAGCUUUUAACCAGUCCUUUUGAUACAGAUUGCAUCCAAAGCGAGCUAGCCAGCAGCAUCCACUUUGUCUGCUGUAGUGACCAUCCAAGGAUUUUAUGGAUUCAACUCAGAACCCUGCACUCUUUUAAAUUAAUUUUUGUUAACCUUGUCCCAUUUCUGCAUGUGGACAAAGCCUCAUUUGUAUGCACAGCAGGGCCUAACAACCAGACUGGCUUUAGUCAAGACCCUGCUUUAUUACGUGAUGUUCUUUAUGCCUUUGCCUUUUUCUCUCAUCUCCAUUAUGUCUUUUGUCAGUAACUGGUUUCAAGUAUCAUAUUUUCCCCUUGUCUUUCUGCACUCGGUUGUUGGCACCCUCUGACAUUGCCCAGCAUGGGGCCAUUUCUCUAACAAACCUGGCUUCUGUCCCACUGGACCGUGGUGUUUAUUCCCUGCUUUGGUGAUGGGUUCUCCUGGAGGAGGAGACUCCAGCGCAGAUUGCCCUGACCCGAGGUGUGGAGAUGGCAGCUUUCUCUGUGCAGGUGAGGGUGAUGGUGUCUGCUCUGUUCUUGCCUUCACCUGUGGCAGUCUCAGGGAAGGAAUAUCAUUAUCAAGUCAUCAUAGCAGCCCAUUUACCACGACCUGAUUUCUGAACACUCACCGCUUCCUGCCAGAAUAGAAGCUCGUUGCCUCGAGUUACCUUGGGAGAGCAAACAACACUGAGCUUGUUCCCAACCUCCAAUUGUCCUAGCUUUGCUGUUUCGUGCCCUGUGUCCCUUCUGGGGCUCCCGUUCUUCCUUGUGUGCCAUCCAUCGGUGCAGCAGCUUCCUGCAUCUGCUGAGAGCUCCAUUUAUCUCCGAACUCCCAAGCGAUGAAUCUCAUCUCGUUAUAAAGCCCCACCAAACCCAAACAGACGACGUGCUUUCUCCUGCCUCUGGGAAUUCUUGCUUGAACAUGGGACCCCUUCAUUUGGGAAGAGGCCAGGCGGGAUGGCAGCUUCCUGGUGAUGAAUCCUGUGUUUGUAGUGUGCCUGGCUGCUGCACACUGCCCCGGAAGAGGCGGUGGAUGUUUGUGGAAGCGAUGGCCAAGCGACUGUGAGACCCGGGCUGCUGGAACAGUGGGUGUAUUAUAGCUGAAAAAGGCAAUUUCUCUGCCAAAUCUCAUUGUGCAAGAGGGGUUAUUCUUUAGCCUUGCAAAGAUUUCGCUUUGUUGGUUCUUUUUUCACUUGCUCUCUGAGACUUGGGAAAGAGGCUGCGGGACUGCAAUGGAAAAUGAGCGUUCAGCUCAUCUGACUUGUGUUACCAGGACAGAGCUCUGCUGCGCUCAGACGUCCAGCCUGCGUGAAAGCAACCGGCUGGCAUCCUGCUCCUGUUUAAUGUCUUGAUUUUCCCUCUCUUCCCUAUGCUUUGAACACUUUCUGACAUAUAAUUUAGCUUAGUAGUGUAGCAGAGUUGGGAAGCAAACAUGGGGCUUGCUUUGGGUGUGAUGCUAAAGAAGGUAUUUCCUGCGGAAGAAAAGGAACAUCUGUGUGGAGAGGAACGUUCUCGUGACAGCAGUGGGUUGAGGGUGCAGAGUUUUCUCAGAACAUUACUAUGAAGCAAUUCAUAGAGGUUUGGUAAAGGCCACAUAGACCCCCUGAAAUAAAAUACCUUUCCAUGUGGAGCUGCUUUUCCCAGCUGCCAGGAACACCUCCCUUCCUGUUCUUGGAAAACAAGGGCCUGGCUAAAAGGCUGAGCUAACCGGGCUGACGUCCUCCAGCAAAAGUUAAGAGGCGUUGUGGUUAAAGUGCUGCAGGAUAUUGUAUCAUCAGGGGCUGUAACUCCUUGCCUGGCUGAAAUAGCCUUCCAGCUACAGGAAGAAGCUAUCCAGAGGCUGAAGAAGCUGUCCAGAGGCUGUAUUGGAGGUGGCAGGAGAAUGUUCCUCGGGGCUGUGGAGCACAGAAGACCCGAAAAGUGUGUAAACCCAUCUCCCAUUUGUGUUUACUUCUAAUUGAUAUCAGAAUUGUGAAGAAUUGUAGAUGGGGCUGUUGCUUAUGGUUUAUCAACCACUGCAUGGAAGCCAGUGAAGCAGGUGGUACCUUUAGCUGAUAACAGAAGAUAGCCAAAUACUUGAGGAUGGGGAGGAAGAGGAGGAUAGGGAGGACAGAAGGCCCCUCCUAUGGUCCUGAGGGCCCUACCAGCACGCUGGCCUGGAUGUGUGCUGCCUUUGCGUCUUCAUUUUGACCUAUUGCAGCAAACUUAGUGUGUCAUCUCGCUUGAAAGAGCUGUCUGCUGGUCCCAUAGUUCUCCCUUUCCCUUCCCACAGCAUUCCAGCCGCGCUGUUUUCCCUGUGUGCCAGCUCUGGCUCUGUCUUGCCUGCAUAAAUACAUUGCCCCAGGGCUGAAGCUGUUGCUCUGUUGGUGCAGUGUUGCCUUGCUGAGGCCCUGGGGUGCUGCUGUAAUAAGUAUGAUUAUGGAUGACAGACUAGGGAGAGACUGCUGGGUUCAUCUGCCUGGGAGAUGGCAGCUCGCAGCCCUGGUCCAAGCCAGGGAGCUGCAGAGCUCCUCUCUUGCCAGGUAUAAAACCUAGGGCUGGUCACGGCAGGGUUCUCCUUUGGAAGGAAGCAGGGGUCUCAUUCCUUGAAUCAAAGAUGUGAAGAUCUUCUGGCUGCACUGCGGUCAAAUCUUAAAUGCAUCAGAGGAGUUCUGGAGGCUGCCCUAGAUCUGGGAACAGGCAGCUCUGCGAUGGACCAUCACAGCUUCAGGCACUGUAGGACUGCACGAGCCUGAAAUAAGAGAUGUUUUUGGGGAGCUCCAAGGUUCUUCCAUCCCCCAACACUGACCUGCUAGCUUUUUGGUGUGUUUAAGGAUGGUUUCCAGUGGGGGGUGAGGGAAAGGAGAUGGAUUUCCUACAUGGCUUUUCAUAACAGAGCUGGUGCAUCACGGUUAGUAAUCCUGAAGCAUGAACUGUCUUUGCUGAAAGUGCUUAAA
This is a long non-coding RNA of Strigops habroptila (Kakapo), 4630 nucleotides long. RefSeq lists it as uncharacterized. NCBI's taxonomy places the organism in Eukaryota, Metazoa, Chordata, Aves, Psittaciformes, Psittacidae. The transcript has 2 exons. The record is from RefSeq and is a predicted model, not a curated record.